CGCCUCCUCGCGGCGGCGGAGGUCACAACGCCACAGGUCACAACGCCACGCGUAUUGGGGGAAGCAGAAUGAACGGACACUUUUGGAAUAUUUCCAGACAGCAGGAAGAUAAGCGGGCGACCGGGUUCAGCUGAACGGAGGAUGCGUGAGACCAUCGAGCAGCCGCGCCCUCACCCCAUCUGGGAUCACACAGCCGCAGCACAUGCCUUCUGAUUGAUUUAUUCAAGAUUAAUUGUUGCUUUGUCGGCUCAUUGCUUCCAACCGGUUCGCGUCAGAUGUCUGUGCUUUGCACUACAUUUGAACGCGGUGCAAACAAAGGGUCCUCCGCUCGUCUCGUCGCCACGAUGCAGCUACAGGUCGGCGCCAUGAAUUAGGCCACCAAUAAAGACAGACGAGUCUGGCCUCCAAGGCGAUUACAGAUCCAAAAUGAAUCUUUAAGCUUCAGCUAUUUAUGACUCUUGUUUCUUGAAAAUGAUACAAGCUCUCGCUAAUUGGAUUUGAUGGAGUCACAGAAGGGGACACGACUCCUUAAUUCAGUUCAUCUUCUGAAGGGUUCGGGGGAAUGUUGCAGUUGAACGUCUGUCCUGCUGCUCAAACUGUCUCUCUCGCACACACACACACACGUUCCCACCCACUGAACACCUGCCAACUACAC
Long non-coding RNA from Gasterosteus aculeatus aculeatus (three-spined stickleback), 655 nucleotides. The record is from Ensembl. Lineage: Eukaryota; Metazoa; Chordata; Actinopteri; Perciformes; Gasterosteidae.